ACGAAUUUAAUAGAUGCAGAUUUAUCAUUUGAUGAAUUAUUAAAUGCCUUCCAUAACUUAUUUGAUGAAUGCAAGAUUAUUAGCAGAAAAUACAAAUUGCUAAAAAAGGAGCAUGAUAGUCUUACUUGUAAUUUCGAUAAGUUAAAAACUGAAUAUCAUGAUAGUUUAGGUUCAUGCAUAAAAUGUCAUGAUCUAGAAACUCUCCAAAAG
Molecule: long non-coding RNA, 210 nt
Filed under: Musa acuminata (dwarf banana)
Lineage: Eukaryota; Viridiplantae; Streptophyta; Magnoliopsida; Zingiberales; Musaceae
Description: long non-coding RNA (MACU_LNC007388)
Source: RNAcentral